GGGCACUUGGCACAGUUGGUAGCGCGCACGCUUCGCAUUACGAUCGAAUUCUGCGUGAGGUCGUGGGUUCAACUCCCACAGUGUCCA
RNAcentral lists this transfer RNA (87 nucleotides) under Paxillus rubicundulus Ve08.2h10. It matches the Rfam family "tRNA". From Rfam's summary of the family: Transfer RNA (tRNA) molecules are approximately 80 nucleotides in length. Their secondary structure includes four short double-helical elements and three loops (D, anti-codon, and T loops). The record is from Rfam by way of RNAcentral. Lineage: Eukaryota; Fungi; Basidiomycota; Agaricomycetes; Boletales; Paxillaceae.